CACAACUAAAAUAAAGAAUAAAAAAAAAAAAUAUCCUAACUAACCCCCUCCCCCUAAUACCUGUCAUUUACUUGUCAGAGCACUCUGAAUGGUUGGCUUAAACCAACCAAUCAGAGCGCUCUGAGCCUAAAUGCAGGGCGUGGGAAGACUUUAUAAGUCUUUCCCUGCCCUGCGGAGCUUAUUCUGCGCCUUGAACUCGCUGAGUGAAGAAGGAUUAUUUUUUAUUGUCUGGAUUUUUUUUUUUUUUUGCUCUCGGGAUUUUUUUUAAUUUUAACUGUUGCAACGGGUAUUAUGGAUUUUUAUUUGGCCUUUUUGGGGGCUGAAGAAAGUAAAGAAGACAUCUAAUGGUAAGUAUGACAUUUUAUUUUACGAGGUUAGUUUAUUGCCCCCACUCACUAUUAUAAGGGUGAAGGGUAAAGGGGGG
Molecule: non-coding RNA, 424 nt
Organism: Pelobates cultripes (western spadefoot toad)
Lineage: Eukaryota; Metazoa; Chordata; Amphibia; Anura; Pelobatidae
Source: the annotation of a GenBank genome assembly